GACAGAGUAGCUUUUUUUAAAAGUGUGAUACGUAGCAAGAAGGUAUGUAAUGUACGUGUCAUUUCAUACAAUACUUACUGUAUGAAAGUAAAAUCACACUGUAUGAAAGUGUGAAAAUCACUGUUGGAUCUCUGAAACUGAUUUCAUUGAUUUCAUAGGUCGCUUCAGUUAGGAGGCCAGGAGUCAUGUUUGAAUCUGGCUUGCACAAGCACAAAUGGGCAUGUGUGGUGUGAGUACUUCCAAUGACGGUGCUGACAAUGACAAUGUUGGCCCUUGUCUGACACCUUGCUGCCUGAUGAAGUAUCCUAAAAUGCUGCUGUUAUGAUGUCACAAUUCUGCUCAAAGACAUCUGGAGGCUGUCCGUCAGCUCAAACUCCCACUAUUCCACUGUGUGCCACCAAUUUCACUUAUUUGUCUCCUUUGGGACAGAGCUACAGGUAGGAGAAGAAAAGCCCUAAAUGUCACGUUGGACUCAUUUAACAAGUUUGCAAGAAAGCAUGACAAGCACAUUGGGGCAAAUGGCUUCAGCUGCUGCCCAGCAACAGCCGGUUCAUCAAAGCCUUUGAGAGUAGCUUUGAAAAUGUGUCAGCCAAUAGGCGGGCAGGACUGGCCCAGCAGCUGAGGGACCCCUCCCCCUCGCUGGAGCCAAGGAUGGGGAAGGAGCAGAUGGAGGCCUCGCUCCCCUUGGCUGGCUCUCAGGGCACAUUGUCCCACACUCAGGACUCAGAAACUGAGACCAAGGCAGACCGUUCACAGGCUUUUGCUCUUGGCCCAAAGCUCCGGAAGGAAGGAAUCUUAUAAGCCCCUGUGCAGUGUCCUUCGUGGGGCUGAGGCGCUGGAUCUUAACCAGGGCAGGCACCCUGUAAGGGUUUGUCUCCUAUUAAAUUUGCCUCGAGUCUUCUCACGUGUCAUUAAUCAAGCAGCUGAACCGUCACUGCGGAAGCAUGGCAUCUAUUAUGGUCUCUGAGGGAUCCCUUUCUCUAGAUUCCAGACCUUUUGGCUCCUGGAAGAGAGACAUCCAUCCUGCCAGGAAGGCCCAAGCCUGCAGCACGUUGCAGGCUGCUCAAGAGACUUUCCCUGCAGCCCCAUUGCAAUCCCCAGAGUUCUGUGAAUCCCCCCGCAUUCCUAAGGUCCCUGCAGCAACAAAGCCAGCCGACUUUGGGGAGCCACUGCACAGGGAGAGGAGCCUCCAACAGGGAUCUAUAUGGGAGUUCCUGAGAACACAGCCAUAUGGUGUGUGUCUAGCCUGUUUUGUAAAAUGUGUUCCACUUUCUCUGUAGCAAGCACCAAUCCCCAGAGGCUGAGUUAGGAAAGUUCUCAGGCCUGCUUCCCUUGUCCCCCCUGCCACUGAGGCCCGUGUCUCCAAGCUAAUCUUUGCUCCCUGGGAGAUGGGAGGAGCCAUCUGUCUGCAGAAGUCCACCUCCUGCUUCCAUGGCAUCCCCAGCCGCACACGCUGUGAAAUCUCCUCCUUUGAUUUCUAAAUAGCGAGCCUUGCUGAGAAACACCCAUUCAGCCGGAGUUCCCCUUUCAAUAUCUUUAAUCCCAGAUGGAAUACAUAAAGUGAAUAAGGCUGUCUCUAUACUGAUAUGAAAAACUCUCUGGCCCAGCGAUGGAGGAUCGCAGGGUGAUGAAAAUACAGCAGGAGGAGAGGCUGCUUUUAAUAUGAAAAGAUGAAUCAAAAUGCACAAAUCAUAACUGCCUCUCUGCAAUAACCUAGCUUCUGCCUUAACCUUUUCAGGAUCAUAAAAAAUAGUCUACUCUCAUUUAAAUAAAUAGUUUAUGUCUCUCUGGGCUCUCUUUUUUGCAGACAUACAGUAAGUCUCUGAGCACUACAUAGACGAUCUGAAUAUAUGUAACCACACAGUCGUUACAGAGACGUGUGCACACAGCCACACACACCUUGUUCUAAUUCCUUUUGUUCUAAUUUCUGCAGUAAAUUCUGUGCUUAUGAAGCAAGAAUUAUUUCAGAAUUAAACAAAAUAAAGAGAAGCAUCUG
This is a long non-coding RNA of Equus asinus (donkey), 1996 nucleotides long. Lineage: Eukaryota; Metazoa; Chordata; Mammalia; Perissodactyla; Equidae. The record is from Ensembl.